AUGGUGUCCUUCACCCAUCCCACCUUCCAUCCUGGCCUCUGCAUUUCUAGCGUUUCAUCCUUUAUUUUAGACAAACUGAUUGUUUUCUCUGCAAAACAUCUCCCCUCCAACCCACUUGCACCUUCCUUCGUUCUUCUGCACCUUCAACAUGCCCUUGUUGUGAGAUUCAGACUCAGAAAAGUGCUGGCAUCUCCAGGCCCACCCCCAGCUCCAGAGCUCUUUGCGGAGAGUACAGAAUUGAUCCUCCGGCUGAAGCAUCCUCUGCAGUGCAGACUGACAGUGCAGAACAGAGCCCCGGGAAAGCAGCAUUUCAAUCUGCUUGUAGGAGGGAGCUUCAAGGACAGGCCUGCGACAUGCCCGGUGACUGAGCGUGGUGGUUGCUGCGGAAGCUGCUCUGGUACCCAGUCUCAAAGCGCCUUUGGCCAGAGGUCUGUUGGGAAUGCAGGGAGCUCACCCAAGAAGCACCCAAGGCUCAGGUAGGGUUCAGUGCUUUCUCUUGGAUGGUCCCAUCCACUGCCAUCGUUCCUACCAAUGCUGGACCUUCCUCCAAGGCCUGCUUCUGUUUUUCUGCUCUGAACUGUAUCCCACCCACUAGCCUGGAGUUUGGGGAAAAAAAAAAAAAAAAAAAGCAAACAGGCCGGACAAAUUUUACACCCUCUCAGAAUGUUUAAUGGAGUUGAGAUCAGCCUCCUUCCCCAGGAACUCCCAUCAUCCCUCUCCUGCCAAACUCAGGGACCUUAGCUCAAACAGAGGAAGCUCGAGUGACUUCAUCAAUUAAAUAUAGGACGUCCAGAAAGGAAAGUGACCGCAGUGUCUGUAUGGGAUUCUCCAUCCUAGCUGAACGAGG
Molecule: long non-coding RNA, 847 nt
Filed under: Macaca fascicularis (crab-eating macaque)
Lineage: Eukaryota; Metazoa; Chordata; Mammalia; Primates; Cercopithecidae
Description: lncRNA (ENSMFAG00000050182.1)
Source: RNAcentral